RNAcentral lists this ribosomal RNA (454 nucleotides) under uncultured Rikenellaceae bacterium. RNAcentral describes it as "partial 16S ribosomal RNA". It matches the Rfam family "Bacterial small subunit ribosomal RNA", at positions 341 to 792 of the family's 1533-position model. The record is from RNAcentral. Lineage: Bacteria; Pseudomonadati; Bacteroidota; Bacteroidia; Bacteroidales; Rikenellaceae.
ACGGAAGGCAGCAGUGAGGAAUAUUGGUCAAUGGACGCAAGUCUGAACCAGCCAUGCCGCGUGCAGGAAUAAGGCCCUAUGGGUCGUAAACUGCUUUUGUGGUGGAGCAAUAAGUCGUACGUGUACGGCAAUGAGAGUACAUCACGAAUAAGCAUCGGCUAACUCCGUGCCAGCAGCCGCGGUAAUACGGAGGAUGCAAGCGUUAUCCGGAUUUAUUGGGUUUAAAGGGUGCGUAGGCUGUGGUCCAAGUCAGGGGUGAAAGCCCGGAGCUCAACUCCGGAACUGCCUUUGAUACUGGAUUGCUGGAAUACGGAUGCCGUGGGAGGAAUGAGUAGUGUAGCGGUGAAAUGCAUAGAUAUUACUCAGAACACCGAUUGCGAAGGCAUCUCACGAAUCCGUCAUUGACGCUGAGGCACGAAAGCGUGGGGAUCAAACAGGAUUAGAUACCCUGGUA